RNAcentral lists this ribosomal RNA (974 nucleotides) under Lachnospiraceae bacterium YSB2008. RNAcentral's name for it is "bacterial LSU rRNA". It matches the Rfam family "Bacterial large subunit ribosomal RNA", at positions 1953 to 2925 of the family's 2925-position model. Lineage: Bacteria; Bacillati; Bacillota; Clostridia; Lachnospirales; Lachnospiraceae. The record is from RNAcentral.
AAGGUAGCGAAAUUCCUUGUCGGGUAAGUUCCGACCCGCACGAAAGGCGUAAUGAUUUGGGCACUGUCUCAACAACACACCCGGUGAAAUUGAAAUACCAGUGAAGAUGCUGGUUACCUGCGCCAGGACGGAAAGACCCCAUGGAGCUUUACUCCAGCUUGAUACUGGGAUUCGGUACUGUCUGUACAGGAUAGGUGGGAGACUAUGAAGCAAGUUCGUCAGGAUAUGUGGAGUCAUCGUUGGGAUACCACCCUUACAGUAUUGGAUUUCUAACCCGUAGCCGUGAAACCGGCGCGGGGACAAUGUCUGGCGGGGAGUUUGACUGGGGCGGUCGCCUCCGAAAGCGUAUCGGAGGCGCUCAAAGGUUCCCUCAGAAUGGUUGGAAACCAUUCGCAGAGUGCAAAGGCAGAAGGGAGCUUGACUGUGACACCGACGGGUGGAGCAGGUGCGAAAGCAGGACUUAGUGAUCCGGUGGUAUAAAGUGGGAUUGCCAUCGCUCAACGGAUAAAAGCUACCCUGGGGAUAACAGGCUGAUCACUCCCAAGAGUUCACAUCGACGGAGUGGUUUGGCACCUCGAUGUCGGCUCAUCGCAUCCUGGAGCUGUAGCAGGUUCCAAGGGUUGGGCUGUUCGCCCAUUAAAGCGGUACGCGAGCUGGGUUCAGAACGUCGUGAGACAGUUCGGUCCCUAUCCGGCGCGGGCGGAGGAUAUUUGAGAGGAGCUGUCCUUAGUACGAGAGGACCGGGAUGGACGGACCGCUGGUGUAUCUGUUGGCGACCAACGCCAUGGCAGAGUAGCCAAGUCUGGAACGGAUAAACGCUGAAGGCAUCUAAGCGUGAAGCCAACCUCAAGAUAAGAUAUCCCAUUCCUAUAAGGAAGUAAGACCCCUUGAAGACUACGAGGUUGAUAGGCACUGAGUGUAAGUGUGGUGACACAUUCAGCUGAGGUGUACUAAUAGGUCGAGGGCUUAUUCAA